UCGCUCCUACCGAUUGAGUGAUCCGGUGAAUACUUCGGAGUGCUGAGUUUGCGGUUUCCGUAGGCUUCGCGCAAAGUUGAAUAAACCUUAUCACUUAGAGGAAGGAG
Molecule: ribosomal RNA, 107 nt
Filed under: uncultured eukaryote
Lineage: Eukaryota
Description: partial small subunit ribosomal RNA
Rfam family: Eukaryotic small subunit ribosomal RNA
Source: RNAcentral